RNAcentral lists this ribosomal RNA (614 nucleotides) under Lactococcus garvieae. Its description in RNAcentral is "bacterial SSU rRNA". It matches the Rfam family "Bacterial small subunit ribosomal RNA", at positions 69 to 678 of the family's 1533-position model. The record is from RNAcentral. Lineage: Bacteria; Bacillati; Bacillota; Bacilli; Lactobacillales; Streptococcaceae.
CUUGCUAUUUUUAUGAAGAGCGGCGAACGGGUGAGUAACGCGUGGGAAAUCUGCCGAGUAGCGGGGGACAACGUUUGGAAACGAACGCUAAUACCGCAUAACAAUGAGAAUCGCAUGAUUCUUAUUUAAAAGAAGCAAUUGCUUCACUACUUGAUGAUCCCGCGUUGUAUUAGCUAGUUGGUAGUGUAAAGGACUACCAAGGCGAUGAUACAUAGCCGACCUGAGAGGGUGAUCGGCCACACUGGGACUGAGACACGGCCCAGACUCCUACGGGAGGCAGCAGUAGGGAAUCUUCGGCAAUGGGGGCAACCCUGACCGAGCAACGCCGCGUGAGUGAAGAAGGUUUUCGGAUCGUAAAACUCUGUUGUUAGAGAAGAACGUUAAGUAGAGUGGAAAAUUACUUAAGUGACGGUAUCUAACCAGAAAGGGACGGCUAACUACGUGCCAGCAGCCGCGGUAAUACGUAGGUCCCAAGCGUUGUCCGGAUUUAUUGGGCGUAAAGCGAGCGCAGGUGGUUUCUUAAGUCUGAUGUAAAAGGCAGUGGCUCAACCAUUGUGUGCAUUGGAAACUGGGAGACUUGAGUGCAGGAGAGGAGAGUGGAAUUCCAUGUGUAG